GGAGGGGGCCUAAUAGCAGCCUGCUUCAUAGCUAUGACGAGGCCACUAAGACGAUAUAGCCAGGCUCUUCACAGCAGUGCCUGGUGGAAAAAGGAGAGGUACCAGGACAUAAGUUGAAUCAAGUCAAGGAAAACCUUUUUCCCCCACGAGCACAAUCAAACAGUGAGACAGGCUGCCCAGAGAGGUUGUGCAGUGUCUGUGGUUGAAGAUUUUCAAGACAUGACUGGAUAAAACCUGAUCUGACCUCGUUGCUGAGCCCUGCUCAAGCAGGCUGUUGCACUGGAGACCUCCUGAGGUCCCUUUUAACAUGAAUAUUAUUAGUAAAAAAAGUUCUGGCCUGCCCUUUACUUAGCUUUUACACAGACUUCCCAGAAGGUGGUUUGUGCCCUCUUCCAGCUGAUAGUGCAGGAUAUGAUGCAGGAGCCUCCAGCAGGUAAGCAGAUUUUGCAACUGCAAUCCUGUCCCUGCUUCUCUUCUCAUCUUAGCAAAAGGGAGGCCUCAAACAGCAGUUCAUCAUUGUGCUUCUGUGUUAAUGGUUAGUUUAUGAAUAUAUGUAAUCUCAACCCAAACAAAACCUCAUCUAUUCAGUUUCAGCACAAAUUCUUAUGAGCUGGUGUUUAUAAGGUUCUGUGGGAGGGCAAAUGACUUCCCCCCCUGUGCUGUUCAGCAUGCUGUCAUUUGUGUCACUGCAGAGCCUGAAGCAGCAGGGUUCUCUCCCCUUACCUGCUUUACUUUGCUACAAAUGCUAAAUAAGCCUCAAAGGAGACAUUCUGCUGCCUCUGAGCUCACCCUGUGUUUAAUUAUGUAAGCCCCAUACAGGUGGGCAAAAGUCUGUACUGGCAAGACACCACGUGUUCUGAAACUUGAUUCCUGGUUCUGCUACAGUAAGGGCUCCUGUUAAACACUAUAAAGACAAGUGCAUGGUGAGACAAACGGCAGAGGGAUGUAAUUUGUUUAUACAGAAAUUCCAUGAACUGUUGAUUUUUAAUGUAGCUUUUCUACAAUAAAUGCCAUAAUUUUCUUUUUUUUUAAGUAGUCACAGCAACUGUAUCUGCCCCUCAGUCUGAACACACUAGUGAAACUUGGGAACAGUUUAUGUGGCUGAAGGGGAUUCCGAUACCAUCCUUCAACAGCAACUAAAGUCUCAAACAGUGAGACCAAUUACUUUGCAGAAGGUAUUUCUACUGUCUCAAACUAAGGCUGUAGCAAAAGCAGUUUGGUAAAAAAUAGGUACUGCUGCUCCCUACUCCAAGAGUUCCCUUCCACGCUUUCUUGCCCCCGCAGUGUUUGCUUAGCAGGCAGCUGCUUCAACUCGGGCUCAGCUUGGAAACACCCCCUAGCCAGUUAUUAGCAGUGAAGACCAUCUCAGCCAGCCUUCAAAACAUGGCUCUCUUACCCCAGCUCCCACCUUCUCUUCAGACCAGCUGAAACUAUGCCUUAGGUUUAUAUCCCCUCCCGCUAGCAGUUGAUACCUUGCCAUUCAUCCCCCAAACAUAAGCACUAUCCCUCCUGCUAGACUAUACCAGCCUUUCGCUGCACCUCAUGAAUAAUAGGUACUUGGCACAGAAAUGCUGAUGUGAUGUGGCUUGUGAAAAUGAAUGGCUGCUGUAAGCAAGGGCUAGCAGCUUCAGGUCUGUUGAGGCAUCUGCUGAUCACGUGAGCACUGGAGAGCAUCACUGCCUGGUCCAGGAGAUGAGUAUGGUGUUAAUAUCAUACUGCGGUGCAGGUCUGGAGCACUCAGCCUGGGUUACCAAAGCUCUGGAGCUGCAGGUCCACGCUUGUGGAGGCAAGAGCGGAGCUUGCGCUAACCCUCCAGGGCUUGGUGCAACAGAACUGCCACCUCAGGCAGGUGGGGGAGUGGACUGUGAUUAGCUAGACAUAGCUCACCUUUCUCACCUCUGGAUACCACGGCAACUCACAGAGUACUCAUGCCUGCAGUGCUCAGAGCCAGGGCCUGCUUAGAUGUCUGCAAAUCACCUUUUCCCAAAAAACAUCAAAUGCACCACUUCCGUGGAAGGAUGAUGAGGCUUGCCACAAAAUACAUGCUACAACUCUUCCCUGCCAGGUGGUAGCCAUUUCAUUAAAAAAAAAAGCAGGAAUCUGUAAAGGAGAGCAAAGGAGGUCACAGCUUUAGCCUUUUACCACUGUCUGUAAAUAAAAUGUCUUGUUCAUGCACACAAGAGGAUCCAUUUUCAAAUAUGAUAAAGGACAAUAAAGUGGCACUUUUAAGGAAGAAAAGUAUACACUGAGGAAAAAACCCUACACUUCAUUACGAGAGUUGCCUGCCUUGCUCUUUCUGUCUGUGAAGACAGGUUCUCGCUUUAGCUGUCCCACCUUUGCAACAGCAGCUGAUUGUCCUCAGAGUGCAGUUUCCUGCUUGCCAUCUCUUGAGAGGGUCAGUCCUCCUCUGCCUCACUGCAGAGUUUUGGAGCUCCAUUCUAGGAGUCCUGAGCGUCCAGAGCUCAUAAGCAGGGUGGUAACUGGAUCACCAUUCCUCCUUUCUCUGUAUGUUCUUGAUAGCAGCAGUAGGUCACUGGGACAUCUUGAAACAUUUUACUAUAGAACUUGCAGGUCUGGCAGAGAUUCCUGGCCACAGCUUUUCAUCCCAUCAUACCCUCUGGCCUGCAGGUCCUUCCCUCAGCCCACUCUAGUCCUUGUAGAAGGACCUGCAUAGCCUCCCAGACACUUAGGAGACCCAGCAGCUCUGCCGUCCUCCAGGCAGCAGGACAGGGUGUAAACAUGCUUCUCCUGGUGACAAACAUUCCCUCUCUGCCCACGCUUACAGGUUGGCAGGAGAAAGUCCUGCACAUAAGCACUGCAAGUGAUCCCACCCAGAAGCAGAACAGAAUUCUAUGCCACACAAUGACCUUCUGCGCUUUGAUAUAACGUCAUAAUGAAGACAAACAGGGAGACAACUACAUUUACUGUCUUAAAGUGAAUUUAGUGCUUGUGAAAGGUGCAGGAAAUACAAGUUAAACCAUACACAAUGUAAACUUUCCCUCCACGCUGUCCUCUAGCCUAUAGUGAUACAAAGUACCACCUCUAUGUACCAGAGGGAAUCUGCUGCCCAGAUCCACUCUUACUGAUCUUUUUAUUACCAGCAGUUCUAGUGGUAGAGACUUGUGUCCUCUGGGAAAGGAACUACAUCAACACUCAUUUUGGCCAGGUAUCCGAGUAGAAAUUUAUUUACUAUUGAUCAAAACUGGGCAAGAGGUGUUCACCUUGAAUUUCUGAAGAGUUUUCAAGCUCCUGAGCUAUCCAGACCCUGCUUUUUCUUGUUCCGAACACAGCACAUGCAGUUUUAAUUUUAAAAAUAAGUUUUCAGACGAUUCUGCAAGUGGAAAAAAUUCU
This is a non-coding RNA of Struthio camelus australis, 3351 nucleotides long. Lineage: Eukaryota; Metazoa; Chordata; Aves; Struthioniformes; Struthionidae. The record is from RefSeq and is a predicted model, not a curated record.